UGGCUCAGGAUGAACGCUAGCGACAGGCCUAACACAUGCAGGUCGAGGGGCAGCACAAGGAGCAAUCUGAGGUGGCGACCGGCGCACGGGUGAGUAACACGUAUGCAACCUGCCUGUAAGCGGGGAAUAACCCGUUGAAAGACGGACUAAUACCGCAUAAUACUAAAUUACUGCAUGGUAAUUUAUUUAAACAUUUAUGGCUUACAGAUGGGCAUGCGCAUGAUUAGCUAGUUGGAGAGGUAACGGCUCCCCAGGGCAACGAUCAUUAGGGGUUCUGAGAGGAAGGUCCCCCCACACUGGUACUGAGACACGGACCAGACUCCUACGGGAGGCAGCAGUGAGGAAUAUUGGUCAAUGGACGAGAGUCUGAACCAGCCAAGUCGCGUGCAGGAAGAAUUGUCCUAUGGAUUGUAAACUGCUUUUGCAGGGGAAUAAAGUGCAUCACGUGUGAUGUUUUGUAUGUACUCUGCGAAUAAGGAUCGGCUAACUCCGUGCCAGCCGCCGC
RNAcentral lists this ribosomal RNA (505 nucleotides) under uncultured bacterium. RNAcentral's name for it is "bacterial SSU rRNA". It matches the Rfam family "Bacterial small subunit ribosomal RNA", at positions 20 to 518 of the family's 1533-position model. The record is from RNAcentral.